Gambusia affinis (western mosquitofish) is the source of this 426-nucleotide long non-coding RNA. RefSeq lists it as uncharacterized. The transcript is spliced from 4 exons. Lineage: Eukaryota; Metazoa; Chordata; Actinopteri; Cyprinodontiformes; Poeciliidae. The record is from RefSeq and is a predicted model, not a curated record.
GUUAAACUGUGCCGGCCUCCUUUGCUGCACCUCCAACAUCUGGACGGCUCUGUGUGUUUGUUGGUUUGCUGGUGGGAAGGAAAAGGUUAAUAACAUCCACCCCAUGUCAACAAACCUCAUUUUGUUACGGCUGCUCUGCGUGGGCAGGAUUGUUGCUGUUUAACUCAACAAGCCACAGAUGUAACUUUGCUUGUUCAGGCUGACAGCUGAAGGUUGUGGUCGAUCUUUGGACGACUUCCUCCCGUCUGCUGUUGUCAAAGCGGCCCGGUGGUAAAGGAACCGGCGAUGGUUGGAUCUACAUCUCUUUCCUCCACACCGACCCAGCUGCAGCAGUGAAGAGACGGAGGACCAGACUGGUCUCUGAUGCACAUCGAUCUAAUUUACUGCAGCAUUAAUGAACUUCAAUAAAUACAGAAAGUCAUUUUA